AUUGAACGCUGGCGGCAGGCCUAACACAUGCAAGUCGAGCGAGCGGCGGACGGGUGAGUACUGUAUGGGGAUCUGCCCGAUAGAGGGGGAUAACUACUGGAACCGUUGGCUAAUACCGCAUACUAUCGGCUGACCCCAUUUGGGAUUAGCUAGUAGGUGGGGUAAAGGCUCACCUCGUAGACGAUCUCUAGCUGGUCUGAGAGGAUGAUCAGCCACACGGGGACUGAGACACGGCCCAGACUCCUACGGGAGGCAGCAGUGGGGAAUAUUGCACAAUGGGAGAAAGCCUGAUGCAGCCAAGCCGCGUGUAUGAAGAAGGCCGUAGGGUUGUAAAGUACUUUCAGCGGGGAGGCGUUACCCGCAGAAGAAGCACCGGCUAACUCCGUGCCAGCAGCCGCGGUAAUAC
RNAcentral lists this ribosomal RNA (406 nucleotides) under uncultured bacterium. RNAcentral describes it as "partial 16S ribosomal RNA". It matches the Rfam family "Bacterial small subunit ribosomal RNA", at positions 30 to 526 of the family's 1533-position model. The record is from RNAcentral.